CUAAUAACAUCCAGGCCAUAGCGGGGAGACCUGAAGAGAAAAACAUAAACAAAGGUGUGUUUGUGCUGCAGCUGGGAAACACCUGCUGAGCUGCCUGGAUGACCUUAACAUACCUGCACCUGAUCACUGAGGCUCCAAGUGUAGGACAUGUUCUUGCUGGCGUCCAUGGGGUCGGCUGGUGGAGGGGUGUCUCACAUCUCUGGAGUCCCACAUCAGACGGAUCUACGGUAACAUGAUCAACCAAAAGCUACAUGUACAGAUGUUUAAAGGGGACAUGAAGUCGGACUCAGAACUGUAUGACUGUAACAGCUUGUUUGCUUCCCACUCUAACUGUCCACUGCUACCAUAGACUGAGGAAGCAUUUGGCCUCAUUAAACUGUAAGUUAUGAUAAAUAUAUCUGAUUCCAGUCCUUCAAAUUCAAUGUUUCUGCAUUCU
Cottoperca gobio is the source of this 436-nucleotide long non-coding RNA. RefSeq lists it as uncharacterized. The record is from RefSeq and is a predicted model, not a curated record. Lineage: Eukaryota; Metazoa; Chordata; Actinopteri; Perciformes; Bovichtidae. The transcript is spliced from 3 exons.